Long non-coding RNA from Syngnathus typhle (broad-nosed pipefish), 321 nucleotides. RefSeq lists it as uncharacterized. NCBI's taxonomy places the organism in Eukaryota, Metazoa, Chordata, Actinopteri, Syngnathiformes, Syngnathidae. The transcript is spliced from 3 exons. The record is from RefSeq and is a predicted model, not a curated record.
CGACAGCGCCGACGUCGCGUCCUGCGCCUACGUCAACCAAGGAGCUUUUCUUUUUCCUGGGAGGUGGAGGUCUGGCUCCUGCGCUUCCUCAUUGGCCUACAUGUGCAAACGGCCGCGGAGCUGCCCGGAGGGACGGACGUGUACCUCCAAUAAUGUUACUGCUGUAAUGAAGACUUCCGAAUGCGACGAUGGCAACUUCCUUUAUGGCGAUGAUUGCUAUCUUUUUGACGCGACGUCUAGAACUUGGGAGGAUGGCGAGAAGUUUUGUCUCGUCCGGCGGGGCCACCUGGCUAGCAUACACUCUGAGCAAGAUGCCCGAUU